GACGAACGCUGGCGGCGUGCCUAAUACAUGCAAGUCGAGCGGACUGACUGGGAGCUUGCUCUUGUUCGGUCAGCGGCGGACGGGUGAGUAACACGUGGGCAACCUGCCCGCAAGACCGGGAUAACUCCGGGAAACCGGAGCUAAUACCGGAUAACACCGAAGACCGCAUGGUCUUUGGUUGAAAGGCGGCGCAAGCUGCCACUUGCGUAUGGGCCCGCGGCGCAUUAGUUAGUUGGUGAGGUAACGGCUCACCAAGGCGACGAUGCGUAGCCGGCCUGAGAGGGUGAGCGGCCAGACUGGGAGUGAGACACGGCCCAGACGCCCACGGGAGGCAGCAGUAGGGAAUCUUCCGCAAGAGGCGAAAGCCUGACGGCGCGACGCCGCGUGAGCGAAGAAGGCCUUCGGGUCGUAAAGCUCUGUUGUGAGGGACGAAGGAGCGCCGUUUGAAGAAGGCGGCGCGGUGACGGUACCUCACGAGGAAGCCCCGGCUAACUACGUG
RNAcentral lists this ribosomal RNA (499 nucleotides) under uncultured bacterium. RNAcentral's name for it is "partial 16S ribosomal RNA". It matches the Rfam family "Bacterial small subunit ribosomal RNA", at positions 28 to 507 of the family's 1533-position model. The record is from RNAcentral.